UCUUGAACUGGAGUUGUGUGAUCCGUGUCAGGAAUGAGAACACCCUGAUCAAGAUUAACAACGGGAGGAAAAGACAUGUUUUUCCUCAAAGACAAAAUCUCUAACUUUAUCUCCCCAUCCCCCAAACUCAAUAUCCUCAAAGAACCAAGCAUUACCCGUUUCAAAAAUAGUUCUAGAAGUGGGAUCAUAGAACUUAUACCCCCUGGAUCUUU
RNAcentral lists this long non-coding RNA (212 nucleotides) under Nicotiana benthamiana. Its description in RNAcentral is "long non-coding RNA (NBEN_LNC004038)". Lineage: Eukaryota; Viridiplantae; Streptophyta; Magnoliopsida; Solanales; Solanaceae. The record is from RNAcentral.